CGCGGGGUGGAGCAGUUCGGUAGCUCGCUGGGCUCAUAACCCAGAGGUCGCAGGUUCAAAUCCUGCCCCCGCAACCA
RNAcentral lists this transfer RNA (77 nucleotides) under Arthrobacter saudimassiliensis. RNAcentral describes it as "tRNA-Met". It matches the Rfam family "tRNA". Rfam says of the family: Transfer RNA (tRNA) molecules are approximately 80 nucleotides in length. Their secondary structure includes four short double-helical elements and three loops (D, anti-codon, and T loops). The record is from RNAcentral. RNAcentral also lists the same sequence under 3 other names. Lineage: Bacteria; Bacillati; Actinomycetota; Actinomycetes; Micrococcales; Micrococcaceae.